UGAAUACGAGAUGCUACGGCGUCGAAGCAGUCUAUGUCAUACUUCCAAGAAAAGCUCGCACUGUCAUAAACAAAUAAUGCCUGUACCAUAACCGACACAGGUGGGUAGGUAGAGUAUACUAAGGGGCGCGAGAUAACUCUCUCUAAGGAACUCGGCAAAAUGACUCCGUAACUUCGGGAGAAGGAGUGCCUUAUUUAUAAGGUUGCAAUAACAAGAUCCAAGCAACUGUUUAUCAAAAACACAGGUCUCCGCUAAGUCGUAAGACGAUGUAUGGGGGCUGACGCCUGCCCAGUGCCAGAAGGUUAAAGAAGUUGGUUAGCAUUCGCGAAGCUGAUAACUGAAGCCCUGGUGAACGGCGGCCGUAACUAUAACGGUCCUAAGGUAGCGAAAUUCCUUGUCGGGUAAGUUCCGACCCGCACGAAAGGCGUAAUGAUUUGGAUACUGUCUCGGAGAGGGGCUCGGUGAAAUAGACUUGUCUGUGAAGAUGCGGACUACCUGCACCAGGACAGAAAGACCCUAUGAAGCUUUACUGUAACUUGAGAUUGAAAUUGGACUUUACUUGCGCAGUAUAGGUGGGAGGCGUUGAUAAUAUUCUUGCGGGAUUAUUUGAGCCAUCAGUGAGAUACCACUCUUGUAAUGUUAGAUUUCUAACUUUGUAUCAUUAUCUGGUCAAAGGACAGUUUCAGGCGGGCAGUUUGACUGGGGCGGUCGCCUCCUAAACGGUAACGGAGGCGCACAAAGGUUUCCUCUGAACGGGUAGAAAUCGUAUCUAGAGUGUAAAGGCAUAAGGAAGCUUGACUGUGAGACCUACAAGUCGAGCAGGGACGAAAGUCGGUCUUAGUGAUCUGACGGUGCUGAGUGGAAAGGCCGUCACUCAACGGAUAAAAGUUACUCUAAGGAUAACAGGCUGAUCUCCCCCAAGAGUUCACAUCGACGGGGAGGUUUGGCACCUCGAUGUCGGCUCAUCGCAUCCUGGGGCGGUAGUACGUCCCAAGGGUUGGGCUGUUCGCCCAUGAAAGCGGUACGCGAGCUGGGUUCAGAACGUCGUGAGACAGUUCGGUCCAUAUCCGGUGUAGGCGUUAGAAUAUUGAGAGUAGCCUUCUUUAGUACGAGAGGACCGAGAAGGACAUACCUCUGGUGUACCAGUUAUCGUGCCAACGGUAAACGCUGGGUAGCUAUGUAUGGAGUGGAUAACCGCUGAAAGCAUCUAAGUGGGAAGCCCACCUCAAGAUAAGUAUUCUC
This 1242-nucleotide ribosomal RNA is filed under the name metagenome. Its description in RNAcentral is "bacterial LSU rRNA". It matches the Rfam family "Bacterial large subunit ribosomal RNA", at positions 1564 to 2815 of the family's 2925-position model. The record is from RNAcentral.